RNAcentral lists this long non-coding RNA (1992 nucleotides) under Gossypium barbadense (sea-island cotton). Its description in RNAcentral is "long non-coding RNA (GBAR_LNC006098)". Lineage: Eukaryota; Viridiplantae; Streptophyta; Magnoliopsida; Malvales; Malvaceae. The record is from RNAcentral.
AAGAAUACAAUACCAACAUGACAUGAACAAAUAAAUUUCUAAAUUAAAUUACUACGAAAAAUAUAUAAAACAUAUCAUAAAAUCACAAGUCCAUAAACAUCUCUAAAUUCGCAUAGAAGGAAUGAUAGAAAAAAAAAACACAAUAUUAACAGGUUGAGAAAAAUAUCAAAAACAAUUUUUAUCCAUAAAAAAAAUGGCGUGUAAGCCAAAGGAGAUAACGAUUCCCUUAAUUUUUUUUAUUAAGCUGGGCUUUUCAUAAAAGAAACAAAGCACAACAAAAGCAACAGAAAAAGUCCCAAAAUAAAACGAACCAAGCCCAAACAGAAAGGAAACCUAAAAAAGCCUAAAAGAAAGUCCAAUGAAAACAGCUCCCAAACACGCAACAACCAGGAUAGCACCGAACAAGAACAAGGAGCUGUUCAGAAAAUCCUUUGGAAAGCACUACCCAUAGCCAAAGAGUUGCUCCCAAAACCAAACAAAAUCAUCUAUGAUAGUGGCUCAAACCCUAUUGAAGGAGGCACCAUCACUGGAAAAACAAAGAUCCCGACACACAUAGAGAUCCAGAAUCCUGUCCGAGAGUCAACGAAAACACCUGCAAACAUCAAGAAACCAUCGAGACUCCCAAGCUUCCCCCAAUAAAACCAGAUCCCGACCGCCGCGAAGCUAACCAGCAUGAGGUCUCAGGGAGGAGGUCGGCUCCCCCAAACACAUACCGCGUCGAUCCGUCUCCACGGCCAGAAGAGCGAACUCUGGGAUCCCCCCCCCCCCUUCUUUGAAUAACACGGCCCUCACCCCGAAGGCCCUUAGUAGCCAACAGGUGGGCCACAGAGUUUCCCUCAUGGGGAACAUGCAGGAACCGACACAAAUGGAACUGCCCGAUCAAGCCCUUGAUAUAACUGAUGUAAUAGCCGAUUCGUCAUGAUGAUGAGAAUAAAGUUUACGAGUCACAGUCAGAGAGUCUCCUACAAAGAUUACCUCUUGUAAGCCCAAUUCGAGACCCAAUCGUAUAGCAUGGUAGCAGGCCAGAGCUUCCGCAGCAAAAGCAGAAGGUAUGCGCGUGGUUACUACUGAUGUGUAGCCAACUACGGAACCAAGAUUAUCCCUAAUAACAAUCCCCGCACAGGUCAUCAACGUAGGCGCGUGGAAAGCAUCAUCAAAGUUCACUUUUAAGCAAGAACCUUCAGGAUCAAUGCUCAGGUCCAAUCAGACGUCCAGGUAGCUUCGCAUGCACCGCGUCAAACUCCAACAGGUAAGACCGCACUCUACAGAUAAUCCCCUGAAUUUGAACAAUUGCAUUUUCAUGCACUCGCCUAUUCCUGACAUGCCAAAUUAACCACAGAGUACACACCACUGAUCUGGAAACAGAAAUGCUAUGCACAAUAAAAUCAUAUAGCAACCAAUCCUGAAAGGAAACAUCAGUCAAUUCACUAGGCCAUGUAACAUGCAGCUCUGCCCAAACACGCGAUGUCGAAAUGUAGUCCCGAAAAAUAUGUUCCAACGUUUUAGCCGAGGCCAUGCACCAAGGGCAUAGUCGUGAUGCGCGAAUCCGCUUGUUGUAAGAUUGUAAUAGCUAGGAAUAAAAUUAUGAAAAAUACGUCACGCUGUUAUUUUUAUUCUUGCCGAAAGUUGCAUCUUCCACAGUUUGUUGUAAAUGUCUAAUGUUGUAAAGAGCCGUAGCCAUUGCACACUGAAUAGUCCCACGAAACUCAGUGCACUACACCAUAAAGUCUGCAUGAGCAACCCGAGAUAGGGGUAUACACAACACCUAGUCUGCUAAAGUCCUGCCCAACACACUGGUAAGCCUUUGCGUAUCCCACUGUCUCGUAGUUUGAUCGAUAAAGUCUAAAACAAAGAGGGCCGAGAAAAUAACUCCCAUGUGUUUUAAAUGGCGACCAGGUAAACCCGGGAUCCACACAUCGUCCAAGACCAAAAUACUUGUUCCUACACCCACACACCAAUUGAGACCCAAUCGCAACAACCCCUUAACAGCCC